GACGAACGCUGGCGGCGUGCUUAACACAUGCAAGUCGAACGGUGAAGCGCCUUCCUUUUUGGUGGGUGUGGAUGAGUGGCGAACGGGUGAGUAACACGUGAGUAACCUGCCCCCUUCUUCUGGAUAACCGCAUGAAAGUGUGGCUAAUACGGGAUAUUCUGGGUCUGUCGCAUGAUGGGUCUGGGAAAGAUAUUGUUUCGGUUGGGGAUGGGCUCGCGGCCUAUCAGCUUGUUGGUGGGGUGAUGGCCUACCAAGGCGGUGACGGGUAGCCGGCCUGAGAGGGUGGACGGUCACACUGGGACUGAGACACGGCCCAGACUCCUACGGGAGGCAGCAGGGGGGAAUAUUGCACAAUGGGCGCAAGCCUGAUGCAGCGACGCCGCGUGAGGGAUGGAGGCCUUCGGGUUGUGAACCUCUUUCGCCAGUGAAGCAGGCCUGCCUCGUUUGUGGGUGGGUUGACGGUAGCUGGAUAAGAAGCGCCGGCUAACUACGUG
RNAcentral lists this ribosomal RNA (494 nucleotides) under uncultured bacterium. RNAcentral describes it as "partial 16S ribosomal RNA". It matches the Rfam family "Bacterial small subunit ribosomal RNA", at positions 28 to 507 of the family's 1533-position model. The record is from RNAcentral.